RNAcentral lists this transfer RNA (84 nucleotides) under Chlorella sorokiniana. RNAcentral's name for it is "tRNA-Leu". It matches the Rfam family "tRNA". From Rfam's summary of the family: Transfer RNA (tRNA) molecules are approximately 80 nucleotides in length. Their secondary structure includes four short double-helical elements and three loops (D, anti-codon, and T loops). Further hydrogen bonds mediate the characteristic L-shaped molecular structure. tRNAs have two regions of fundamental functional importance: the anti-codon, which is responsible for specific mRNA codon recognition, and the 3' end, to which the tRNAs corresponding amino acid is attached (by aminoacyl-tRNA synthetases). tRNAs cope with the degeneracy of the genetic code in two manners: having more than one tRNA (with a specific anti-codon) for a particular amino acid; and 'wobble' base-pairing, i.e. permitting non-standard base-pairing at the 3rd anti-codon position. RNAcentral also lists the same sequence under 1 other name. Lineage: Eukaryota; Viridiplantae; Chlorophyta; Trebouxiophyceae; Chlorellales; Chlorellaceae. The record is from RNAcentral.
ACUCACUUGGUGAAAUUGGUAGACACGAUAGACUCAAACUCUGUUCCUUUAUUCGGGAUAUCGGUUCGAAUCCGAUAGUGAGUA